RNAcentral lists this non-coding RNA (24 nucleotides) under Cricetulus griseus (Chinese hamster). Lineage: Eukaryota; Metazoa; Chordata; Mammalia; Rodentia; Cricetidae. The record is from RNAcentral.
AGAAGCUGUAGAGAGAAGGUGCUA